This 5043-nucleotide long non-coding RNA is filed under the name Lathyrus oleraceus (garden pea). RNAcentral's name for it is "Pisum sativum (pea) long non-coding RNA (PSAT_LNC003856)". The record is from RNAcentral. Lineage: Eukaryota; Viridiplantae; Streptophyta; Magnoliopsida; Fabales; Fabaceae.
UUUGCUGAGAGCCCAUACGAGAAGGUUUUCUUGAAUAAAUACUGCAAAGAAUACACUUCAACUACAGCAGCCUAUAAAUUUGGAGGAUUGGGAUUUGUCAGUGCCUAAAACUUCUUAUUUUGGACAAUUUACUUUUACAAAAAGUUAAUAGUUGUCUUUUCAAAGUACAUUAGUAUCUAUUUUAGUUUUGCAUACUCAUGUUUGGUUUCAUGCUCUAUGAUUUUGCAGGUUUUUCAAAAAGACGAUCCAAUGGCAAAAGACUUUUCUGAAGCAAUUUUAACACUGGCAGAAAAUGGAAAAUUAAAAGAUUUGGAAAAUAUAUGGUUAACACCUUCCAAUAAAUGCUCAAACAACUCACCAUCUCCAGAAGAAACUGAGAGUCUGACUCUUGACAAAUUUUGGGGACUCUAUGUCAUAUGUGCUGCCACAUCCACCAUCUGCUUACUACUAGCUUUGUUGAAGAAGCGUUUACGUAACCAUAACCACUAUGAAGAAGCUGAUCAACUUCCUCAAGGAAGUGUAAUCUCCGAAUCUGAUGAUGAUAAUAAUAAUAAUUCUCAGAGAGCAAUUAGAGUUGGUACAGGUUUAAACAUUGAGAAUCUCAUUAAAUUAAAUAAAUCUGCAACUUUUGGUGGACGUGUAAAAGAAGGUGUACGUCGUAGAAAUUCACCAAAAUUGGAGAGUAUAAGCAUUUCUGAUGAACAGGGCGAUCUUCCUCACUCCCAAUCAGCUGCCAUGCCAUAGAAAUGAUAUAAUUCAUAUUAUGUAAUAGCUAACCAUAUACAUUCCAACUUUUAUGUGUUUAAUUUUAACAAUUGUAGUAGUAGCAAUUAUGAAAACCCUAUAGUAAUUUUAACACAAAUAUAUGUAUUUUAAAGUUAGUAUCUAAUGUGAUUCGUUUCAUCAGUCUCCUCCUGAAAAACAUGCAAUAUCAUCAGUUCUUCACCUCACUAUAUAUGAUUCAGUAUGGGAAAAAAGUUCUUCCUACAAUAAGCGCAAUGCUGCACUUGCAAAAUUCAACUAUUACAAUGUAUGGUCAAGAGACAUUUUAAAUUUCUUGCACAAGGGAUUAUAUAUCACUCUACAUUUGUCUUCAUUCUCAGCCAUCUAUUUUGAGGUAUACAUCUUUAUUUUUAUGUAAUUAAAGUAUGACAUUUCACAAAGGUACUAAAAAAUGAUAAAUAUAAGGCUGAUAAUUGCAGGACAAUCAUUUUCACAUAUUUUAACAUUGAGUAUGCAUGUUGAAUUAUAUGACCAGUUCCUCCGGGGGAAUGUAUAUACUUACAAAUUUUCAGACUCAAAUUUCCUAUUCAGAUUCUAAAGUCAUUUAUUAUGAUCUAUUGUCCUAAAUUUUGUGGCCACAUAUCAAAGCCUAAAUGUCAUUAGUUUGAGGUCCACUUCUCAUAGCUGGCCAAUCCAACAAGAAUCUGUGUUUCCAAGAAGCAUCCAUUUUUGAUGAUCUUUCAACUUAUCUCUAGAAAUGACAUAAAAUUAACACUAAAUGAAAUUAAGAUUACCAUUUUGACUGGAUCAACUUAUCUCUAGUUGAUUUAAAGACGUUAUUUUCUGAUUUUUUAUUUUAUAAUUCAAUAAAUUAAACUUGAAUCUAGACCAUCUGAUUUUGAACAGACUACCAUCAUUUUGAAUGUGUGGAUGCAGGAAAUCCCGACAGCAAGGAAUCCUAAAUUUCAAAUCUUUUAGAAGACUUACAUCCUAAAUUUAGAAAAUAUAAUCUUUUGUCCUAUCAUACACUUGUGUGUCGGUAUGAGACAAUAAGCACGCGUUCUUACAUGUGGCACGAGAGUGUUUGUCAUUUUUGAAGUAUGAAUUCAUAUUUCUAUCAACUACUUAGUAUUCUUAAUUUUAUUUUGAAUGCGGAUCAAACUCUCCACCUCUCUAUCGCUCCACUUUUUGUCUCCUAAAUUCCAACUAUCAAACCACCCUUACUCUUACUUGGAUUUAACAUUAGUUUUUCCCUAAUAGGUUUUCCAAUAAGCAGAUAAAACUUAGGUGUAAUGCUGCACAUAUUUUGGUCUUAUUGUUCCUCAUACAAAAGUACAGCUUUUAUUUAAUUAAGGAGACUUUUAGAACAAUAAUCCGGCUUAACAGAGUAAAGAAACAAUAGACGCAAACAAUGAGCACGCUGUAUGCUAACAAAGUUUGGCUAAUAUUAAUUACACCCUGAACUACAUUUUCUUUUUAUUACCUCUAAACUGUACCGCAGAUGACUUCCAACCCCACAAAAAAUGAUUGGACCAAGCCUAAGGACAUGUUUCUCUUGCUUUCCUCAAUAGACCCUUUCCGCUUAUCAACAACUAUGAAUCAUAUUCAACAUUGACAAUUUCUAUCGCAUCUAACAUAAUUUGUGACAGUUCUACUCUAUUUUUAGUGAAUAAUAUUAAGAGCAGUGUCUAAACUCUAGAGCACUGUUUCUAAGUUUUCACCAUCUCUAAAUCCAAGAUUUAUCCCAUCUAACAAAUCGUUGAUCCUUACAAUUACUUUUCCCUCCCUUAUGAGGUGUUAUGACUAGCCUUCCUUCUAAUAACUCAGCAACUUGCAAGCCUUGCUUAUUCUCUUCUUAUACCCAACUUUGUCUCCAAGUAUGGAGUCAACAUCAUAAUUGACAAAGUCAAACAUUAAAUUUCCAUGAAACAACCAAAGUAACUCCAAAAAUCCUCGGCAUUGAGUAAUAUUAAUUCCUCUAGGUAAUCAUGUAAUAUAUAGGCAGCUAGUCCCUGCACAGUUUCCAACAAAGGCUAGUAGAUUAUGUGAGCAAAAGAUAUUGCAGCAAAAUGCAUUGCCUUUCAACUAUUCCUCAAGCACUAGCAAGAGUUUGGCUAUUCUUUUUCUUACUCACUCCUUCUGUUCUCAUUUUUGGUUUCCGAGAUGAGACAAACAAAGUUAUAUCCAUUGGGGUGACCAUUGAUGUUAAUUCUCGUAUUGGGAAAGAACAAGAAGUAGCCAUGGAAAUUGCAGCCCAGAAAUACAACAUCGCUUCAAAGGAAUACAACCUGGCUCUCUAUUUUCAGAACUCUGCCAAGGAUACCCUCAGGGCCAUCACACUUGGUUAGUACAUCUAGUAUUUUUUGAGAAAAAAAACAUUAAACUUUCUUACAUGUGUAUAAUGAAGCAUGUGAGAUCUUUAAUUGCAGCUGAAGAGAUGAUUAAGGUGCAAAAGGUGCAAGUGAUUAUAGGGAUGCACACAUGGCCAGAAGCAGGUAUAGUAGCUGAAAUAGGAAGCAAAGCUCAAGUUCCUAUCAUAUCCUUUGCAGCACCUACCAUAAUGCCACCAUUGAUGAAAACUCGAUGGCCUUUUCUGGUGGGACAAGCAAACAAAGGUACAUCAUAUAUAAAAUGCAUUGCAGACAUAGUGCAGGCAUAUAGCUGGAAAAGAGUAGUAGUAAUCUACGAAGAUGACGGGUACGGGGGAGAUUAUGGGAUGCUAGCUCUGCUAGCUGAGGCCCUUCAGGAUGUGGAUUCAAUGAUUGAACACCGCUUAGUCCUUCCCCCAAUCUCUUCUAUACAUGAUCCAGGAGAGUUAGUUAGUGAAGAGAUGAUUAAGUUAAAACAAGCACAAUCUCGGGUGUUCAUAGUGCUGCAAUCAUCGUUAGAAAUGACAAUCCAUUUGUUCAAAGAAGCUUCAAAAGUUGGACUGGUGGGUAAAGAAUCAGUUUGGAUAAUCCCAGAGAGCGUAACAAAUUUGAUGGACUCUGUCGAUAAAUCUGCUAUUUCCUAUAUGGAAGGAGCUUUAGGAAUUAAAGCCUACUACUCAGAGAGAAGCAAGGAUUAUCAAGACUUUGAGGCUCAGUUCAGGAGAACUUUUUGGUUAAAGAAUCCAGAGGAAGAUAACCGAUACCCAGGAUUUUAUGCUCUACAAGCAUAUGAUAGCAUUAAUAUUGUAACUCAAGCAAUCGACAGAAUGACCAGUAGAAACAAUAGCAGCCCAAAGAGUUUGCUAAGAGAAAUACAGUCUAGCAAUUUCGUUGGUUUGAGUGGCCAUAUUCAACUUGAAGAUGAACAACUCAUGCAGAAGAAUCUUGUAUUAAGAAUUGUAAAUGUGGCUGGGAAGAGUUACAAGGAAUUAUGCUUUUGGACUCAACAACAUGGCUUCACAACAGUCCUCCAUACCGGACAAGGUGGAAACAAGGUUGCUGGAAAUACAGAAUGUUUCAGGGGUGUACGCUGGCCUGGGAAUUUGGACCGCGAUCCAAAGGGGUGGAACAUGCCUACCAAACAAUAUCCAUUGAAAAUUGCAGUCAGAAGCAGAACCUCGUUUUACAAGUUUGUCAAGGUUGAGUAUGGCCAUAAUGGAAAGGAUGAUAAAUAUAGUGGAUUUUGCAUUGACAUUUUCGAGCAAGUACAGAAACUUCUGGGGUACGAUCUUCCAUAUAAAUAUCAUGCCAUCAAUGGAACCUAUAACGAUUUGGUUCAGCUUGUCUAUAACAAGGUAUUAAAUCUAUUUUUCUUUGAAAUCAAAUGUUUAAUUUUGGUUUCUAUGAUUAUCAUUGUCCUCCCUAUCAAAUAUGACAAAGAUACUUAUAGUUAGCGAUUAGGAAUAACUAAUAAUAUGUACUAAAUGCAACUUAAUUACUUUGAAAUUUGAGAAACAAUAUUUUUUUAUUUAUUGAUUACGAUUUUUUGUUUAUGUGUGGUUAAACAAUAAUGGAAGACUUUUGAUGCUGUUAUUGGAGACAUGACCAUAAUAGAGGAAAGAUUGAAGUAUGUGGAUUUUACAGUGCCAUAUGCAGAAUCAGGAUUGUCAAUGAUAGUUCCAAUGAAGUCUGGAGAAUCAGCAUGGAUGUUUAUGAAGCCAUUUACCUGGGAAUUGUGGCUGGUUACAGAUGCAAUCUUGAUUUACACAAUGUUAGUUGUUUGGUAUCUUGAGAGAGAACCCAACCCAGAGUUCCAUGGAAACUGGAAGCUCCAGCUCAGCACAGCCUUUUGGUUUACUUUUUCCUCUCUGUUCUUUGCUCAUAGUGAGUAUCAAUCUCAAACUUCCUUGUCAUUUUGAUGCAAAAUAACAAUAUGAAAAAACAUAUAAUC